RNAcentral lists this ribosomal RNA (406 nucleotides) under uncultured microorganism. RNAcentral describes it as "bacterial SSU rRNA". It matches the Rfam family "Archaeal small subunit ribosomal RNA", at positions 330 to 742 of the family's 1478-position model. The record is from RNAcentral.
GCGCAGCAGUCGCGAAUACUUUACAAUGUGCGAAAGCACGAUAAGGGAACUCUGAGUGCCUCCUAAGGAGGCUGUUCUGAUGUCUAAAAAGCAACAGAAGUAAGGGCUGGGUAAGACCGGUGCCAGCCGCCGCGGUAACACCGGCAGCCCAAGUGGUAGCCACGUUUAUUGGGUCUAAAGCGUUCGUAGCCGGCCAGGUAAGUUCCUUGGUAAAUUUAGCCGCUUAACGGUUAAGCUUUCAGGGAAUACUGCUUGGCUUGGGACUGGGAGAGGUCAGAGGUACUCCGGGGGUAGGGGUGAAAUCUAUUAAUCCCUGGGGACCACCGGUAGCGAAGGCGUCUGACCAGACCAGGUCCGACGGUGAGGGACGAAGGCUAGGGGCGCGAACCGGAUUAGAUCCCCUGUA